RNAcentral lists this ribosomal RNA (500 nucleotides) under uncultured Glomeromycotina. Its description in RNAcentral is "partial small subunit ribosomal RNA". It matches the Rfam family "Eukaryotic small subunit ribosomal RNA", at positions 591 to 1092 of the family's 1831-position model. Lineage: Eukaryota; Fungi; Glomeromycota. The record is from RNAcentral.
CCAAUAGCGUAUAUUAAAGUUGUUGCAGUUAAAAAGCUCGUAGUUGAAUUUCGGGAUCAAUAUGUUGGUCGUGCCUUUGGUACGUACUGGCAUUAAUGGUUUCUCUCUUCUGAAGAACCUUGAUGUCAUUAAUUUGGUGUCUUGGGAAAUCAGGACUGUUACCUUGAAAAAAUUAGAGUGUUUAAAGCAGGCUCACGCUUGAAUACAUUAGCAUGGAAUAAUGAAAUAGGACGUUUGAUUCUAUUUUGUUGGUUUCUAGGAUCGACGUAAUGAUUAAUAGGGAUAGUUGGGGGCAUUAGUAUUCAAUUGUCAGAGGUGAAAUUCUUGGAUUUAUUGAAGACUAACUACUGCGAAAGCAUUUGCCAAGGAUGUUUUCAUUAAUCAAGAACGAAAGUUAGGGGAUCGAAGACGAUCAGAUACCGUCGUAGUCUUAACCAUAAACUAUGCCGACUAGGGAUCGGAUGAUGUUAAUUUUUUAAUGACUCAUUCGGCGCCUUACG